CAAAACAUAGCCCUCGGUAAUAUCGAAGGUGCAACCUGCCCAAUGGUUUUCAAUUUAAUAAGAUUGACUUCUUAAAAGAAGACUUAAAGGACGCAGUAUCCUGACUGUGAUAAUGUAGCAUAAUCACUCGCCAUUUAAUUGAUGGAUAGUAUGAAUGGUUAAACGAAUAUUACACUGUCUCAGAUAAAAUCUAUAUGAAAUUAAAAUAAUAGUAAAGAUGCUAUUUAAAACUGUAAGACGAAAAGACCCUAUAGAGCUUGACUACAUUCUCUUUCAAAAAAAACCAGAGAAAAACCUAAAAAAAAGAGAGAAAGGUAGUUUAGUUGGGGCGACUUUCUUCUAAAGUAAACGAAGAUAAGCAAAGUUAACAAAAUAACUUAUUGUAAAACAAAUCUGUUUAACAAUUAUAAAAAUAGGCUGUAAUGACCCGUUAAAUAAAAAUAGAAUUUUUAACGAUCAAUAAAUAAAAGCUACCUUAGGGAUAACAGGAUAAUUUCGUUUUAGAGAUCUAUUCA
RNAcentral lists this ribosomal RNA (515 nucleotides) under Amphinema dinema. RNAcentral describes it as "partial 16S ribosomal RNA". It matches the Rfam family "Bacterial large subunit ribosomal RNA", at positions 1809 to 2507 of the family's 2925-position model. The record is from RNAcentral. Lineage: Eukaryota; Metazoa; Cnidaria; Hydrozoa; Anthoathecata; Pandeidae.